This 896-nucleotide ribosomal RNA is filed under the name Diaporthe vaccinii. RNAcentral's name for it is "LSU rRNA". It matches the Rfam family "Eukaryotic large subunit ribosomal RNA", at positions 38 to 966 of the family's 3401-position model. Lineage: Eukaryota; Fungi; Ascomycota; Sordariomycetes; Diaporthales; Diaporthaceae. The record is from RNAcentral.
GCAUAUCAAUAAGCGGAGGAAAAGAAACCAACAGGGAUUGCCCUAGUAACGGCGAGUGAAGCGGCAACAGCUCAAAUUUGAAAUCUGGCCUCGGCCCGAGUUGUAAUUUGCAGAGGAUGCUUCUGGCGCGGUGCCUUCCGAGUUCCCUGGAACGGGACGCCACAGAGGGUGAGAGCCCCGUAUGGUCGGACACCAAGCCUGUGUGAAGCUCCUUCGACGAGUCGAGUAGUUUGGGAAUGCUGCUCUAAAUGGGAGGUAAAUCUCUUCUAAAGCUAAAUACCGGCCAGAGACCGAUAGCGCACAAGUAGAGUGAUCGAAAGAUGAAAAGCACCUUGAAAAGGGGGUUAAAUAGUACGUGAAAUUGUUGAAAGGGAAGCACUUAUGACCAGACUUGGGCCGGGCGGCUCAUCAGGGGUUCUCCCCUGUGCACUCCGCCCGGCACAGGCCAGCAUCGGUUCUCGUGGGGGGAUAAGACCGUCAGGAACGUAGCACCCUCCGGGGUGUGUUAUAGCCUGGCGGACGAUACCCCCGUGGGGACCGAGGUCCGCGCUCCGCAAGGAUGCUGGCGUAAUGGUCAUCAGUGGCCCGUCUUGAAACACGGACCAAGGAGUCGUCCAUUAGAGCGAGCGUUUGGGUGUAAAACCCGCACGCGUAAUGAAAGUGAACGCAGGUGAGAGCUUCGGCGCAUCAUCGACCGAUCCUGAUGUUCUCGGAAGGAUUUGAGUAAGAGUUUUAACGGACGGACCCGAAAGACAGUGAACUAUGCUUGUAUAGGGUGAAGCCAGAGGAAACUCUGGUGGAGGCUCGCAGCGGUUCUGACGUGCAAAUCGAUCGUCAAAUAUGAGCAUGGGGGCGAAAGACUAAUCGAACUGUCUAGUAGCUGGUUACCGCCGAAG